UCCCCACACCGGUGAGAAUGCCCUUAACAUCAAUUUAGAUCAAGAGGAGCAGGCAUUAAGCACACUAUUUAGUAGCUCAAGAUGCCUUGCUUACCCACACCCCCAAGGGAAACAGCAGUGAUAGAAAUUUAGCAAUGAACGCAAGUUUGACUAAGUUAUGCUACUCUAGGGUUGGUAAAUUUCGUGCCAGCCACCGCGGUCAUACGAUUAACCCAAACUAAUAAAUUCCCGGCGUAAAGCGUGAUUAGAAUCAAAAAACAGAAAAAAUAAAAUCAAAUAACAACUAAGCUGUAAAAAGUAAUAGUUACAAACAAAAAUAAACAACGAAAGUGAUUUUAUAACCUUCGAACUCACGAUAGCUAAGACCCAAACUGGGAUUAGAUACCCCACUAUGCUUAGCCCUAAACUUAAAUAAUUCCAUAACAAAAUUACUCGCCAGAGAACUACAAGCCAGAGCUUAAAACUCAAAGGACUUGGCGGUGCUUUAUACCCACCUAGAGGAGCCUGUUCUAUAAUCGAUAAACCCCGAUAAACCUUACCACUCUUUGCCAACUCAGCCUAUAUACCGCCAUCUUCAGCGAACCCUAAAAAGGAACAAAAGUAAGCUCAAUUAUCCCCAUAAAAACGUUAGGUCAAGGUGUAGCCUAUAGAGUGGAAAGUAAUGGGCUACAUUUUCUACUUCAGAACAUACGAAAGCCCUUAUGAAACUCUAAGAGCCAAAGGAGGAUUU
The sequence is a ribosomal RNA, 730 nucleotides long. It matches the Rfam family "Bacterial small subunit ribosomal RNA", at positions 302 to 1290 of the family's 1533-position model.